This 73-nucleotide transfer RNA is filed under the name Flavobacteriales bacterium. Its description in RNAcentral is "tRNA-Lys". It matches the Rfam family "tRNA". From Rfam's summary of the family: Transfer RNA (tRNA) molecules are approximately 80 nucleotides in length. The record is from RNAcentral. Lineage: Bacteria; Pseudomonadati; Bacteroidota; Flavobacteriia; Flavobacteriales. RNAcentral also lists the same sequence under 1 other name.
GAUCUCGUAGCUCAGCUGGUAGAGCAAUACACUUUUAAUGUAUGGGCCCUGGGUUCGAAUCCCAGCGAGAUCA